Molecule: ribosomal RNA, 253 nt
Filed under: uncultured bacterium
Lineage: Bacteria
Description: partial 16S ribosomal RNA
Rfam family: Bacterial small subunit ribosomal RNA
Source: RNAcentral
UACGUAGGCAGCGAGCGUUGUUCGGAGUUACUGGGCGUAAAGAGUGCGUAGGCGGUUUUCUAAGUUUGGUGUGAAAUCUCCCGGCUCAACUGGGAGGGUGCGCCGAAAACUGGAGGGCUAGAGUACUGGAUGGGAGAGUGGAAUUCCUGGUGUAGCGGUGAAAUGCGUAGAUAUCAGGAGGAACACCUGUGGUGUAGACGGCUCUCUGGACAGUAACUGACGCUGAGACACGAAAGCGUGGGUAGCAAACAGG